Molecule: unclassified non-coding RNA, 167 nt
Filed under: soil metagenome
Description: partial internal transcribed spacer 1
Source: RNAcentral
GUGAAUUAAACAUGCUUGGUGUCUUCGCUUCGGCAAGGCCCUUGCUUAAAUCACAUCCUAACACCUGUGAACUGUAAGACGUAUGAUGAGGUCUUUGGCCAAGUCAUCGUCUGCCCAUUUCUAACAAGCAAUUAAUGUAACAAACGUAGUCUUAUUAUAACCUAAUA